UAAGGAAUAUUGGUCAAUGGACGAAAGUCUGAACCAGCCAUGCCGCGUGAAGGAUGAAGGUCCUCUGGAUUGUAAACUUCUUUUAUCUGGGACGAAAAAAGGGAAUUCUUUCUCACUUGACGGUACCAGAAGAAUAAGCACCGGCUAACUCCGUGCCAGCAGCCGCGGUAAUACGGAGGGUGCAAGCGUUAUCCGGAUUCACUGGGUUUAAAGGGUGCGUAGGUGGGCAGUUAAGUCAGUGGUGAAAUCUCCGGGCUUAACCCGGGAAACUGCCAUUGAUACUAUCUGUCUUGAAUACUCUGGAGGUAAGCGGAAUAUGUCAUGUAGCGGUGAAAUGCUUAGAUAUGACAUAGAACACCGAUUGCGAAGGCAGCUUACUACGGAGUCAUUGACACUGAGGCA
RNAcentral lists this ribosomal RNA (402 nucleotides) under uncultured bacterium. Its description in RNAcentral is "bacterial SSU rRNA". It matches the Rfam family "Bacterial small subunit ribosomal RNA", at positions 355 to 753 of the family's 1533-position model. The record is from RNAcentral.